GAUGAACGCUGGCGGUGUGCCUAAUACAUGCAAGUCGAGCGAACAGACGAGGAGCUUACUCCUCUGACGUUAGCGGCGGACGGGUGAGUAACACGUGGAUAACCUACCUAUAAGACUGGGAUAACUUCGGGAAACCGGAGCUAAUACCGGAUAACAUGUUGAACCGCAUGGUUCAACAGUGAAAGACGGUCUUGCUGUCACUUAUAGAUGGAUCCGCGUCGCAUUAGCUAGUUGGUAAGGUAACGGCUUACCAAGGCAACGAUGCGUAGCCGACCUGAGAGGGUGAUCGGCCACACUGGAACUGAGACACGGUCCAGACUCCUACGGGAGGCAGCAGUAGGGAAUCUUCCGCAAUGGGCGAAAGCCUGACGGAGCAACGCCGCGUGAGUGAAGAAGGUCUCCGGAUCGUAAAACUCUGUUAUUAGGGAAGAACAAAUGUGUAAGUAACUAUGCACGUCUUGACGGUACCUAAUCAGAAAGCCACGGCUAACUACGUG
This 497-nucleotide ribosomal RNA is filed under the name uncultured bacterium. Its description in RNAcentral is "partial 16S ribosomal RNA". It matches the Rfam family "Bacterial small subunit ribosomal RNA", at positions 28 to 507 of the family's 1533-position model. The record is from RNAcentral.